This 752-nucleotide ribosomal RNA is filed under the name Tetra tibetisalix. RNAcentral describes it as "partial 18S ribosomal RNA". It matches the Rfam family "Eukaryotic small subunit ribosomal RNA", at positions 389 to 910 of the family's 1831-position model. The record is from RNAcentral. Lineage: Eukaryota; Metazoa; Arthropoda; Arachnida; Trombidiformes; Eriophyidae.
ACAAGCCUGAGAAACGGCUAGUAGGACUAAGGUCUGCAGCAGGCGCGAAACUUACACAAUGCUAGAUUUAUGAUGAUUAGCGAUGUAGUGAAGAAAAAUAACGAUGCACUUCCUUUUAAACAAGGUUGUGCAAUUGGAAUGAGACGACUUUAAAUAGGUCCGUCGAGUAACAAAUGGAGGGCAAGUCUGGUGCCAGCAGCCGCGGUAAUUCCAGCUCCAUUAGCAUACAUUAAAGUUGUUGCGGUUAAAAAGCUCGUAGUUGAAUGUCUGGCGGGUUCUGGGCGGAAGUGUGCAUCAAGGGUUUCGUGUAAAAGCUUAGCCUGCUCGCUUGCUGCCAGGGAGCCCGUUGUUUCGUCACUUAAUCGAGUGCGAAGCGGGUCGGCUUUGAAGGGCUGUCGAAAGAUAGUUUCCAAAUAAACCGACUAGUUUACCUUGAAAAAAUUAAAGUGCUCAGCGCAGGCAGUUGGGGGUGUAAAAGCCCAUUUUAUGCUUGAAUAAGGUUGCAUGGAAUAAUAAAAUACGGCCUCGGUUCUAUUCGGUUGGUCUUAUAAAACAACAAACAAGUUGGUGCGAGCGUCAAAGGUUGUGCUGGCUGUGGUGCUAUCCAGGAUCGUGUUGUAGUUGGCCUAAAAAUCAAUUUACCUCAUCCAAAUAGUUACCAUCAAGCAGCCUUCUACUAACCUGCUCACACACCAACUGAGGCAAUGGUUAAAAGAAAUAGUCGCGGCGGCAUCAGUACUGCAUCGUGAGAG